UGCUGAAAAGCCAUGUCUCCUUUUCCUGAUGAACCUCCAAACCUCCAGUGCUACAAGUCAGUGAUGAAAUAACCAUCCUCUGUGUAAAGCUUUUAGUGCUGAAUGUGAAAAAAUUCUCCGGGCUGCCAGCAGGUGGGAUUCAUGAUCAAACAGGAUAUAGCAACUUGCACCUGGAUUGCAAGACCAUCACAGCUACAACAACACAGCUCGUUUGGAGAAAGU
RNAcentral lists this long non-coding RNA (222 nucleotides) under Coturnix japonica (Japanese quail). RNAcentral describes it as "lncRNA (ENSCJPG00005010081.1)". The record is from RNAcentral. Lineage: Eukaryota; Metazoa; Chordata; Aves; Galliformes; Phasianidae.